CAGUAGCCGCGGGAAUACGAAGGGUGCAAGCGUUACUCGGAAUUACUGGGCGUAAAGCGUGCGUAGGUGGUGGUUUAAGUCCGUUGUGAAAGCCCUGGGCUCAACCUGGGAAUUGCAGUGGAUACUGGGUCACUAGAGUGUGGUAGAGGAUAGUGGAAUUUCCGGUGUAGCAGUGAAAUGCGUAGAGAUCGGAAGGAACAUCUGUGGCGAAGGCGACUAUCUGGGCCAACACUGACACUGAUGCACGAAAGCGUGGGGAGCAAACAGGAUUAGAUACCCCCGUAGUCCCUGUCUCUUAUAC
This 301-nucleotide ribosomal RNA is filed under the name uncultured bacterium. RNAcentral describes it as "partial 16S ribosomal RNA". It matches the Rfam family "Bacterial small subunit ribosomal RNA", at positions 509 to 807 of the family's 1533-position model. The record is from RNAcentral.